RNAcentral lists this ribosomal RNA (1155 nucleotides) under Chryseobacterium sp. RNAcentral's name for it is "bacterial SSU rRNA". It matches the Rfam family "Bacterial small subunit ribosomal RNA", at positions 27 to 1190 of the family's 1533-position model. Lineage: Bacteria; Pseudomonadati; Bacteroidota; Flavobacteriia; Flavobacteriales; Weeksellaceae. The record is from RNAcentral.
GGAUGAACGCUAGCGGGAGGCCUAACACAUGCAAGCCGAGCGGUAGAGUCUCUUCGGAGACUUGAGAGCGGCGCACGGGUGCGGAACACGUGUGCAACCUGCCUUUAUCUGGGGGAUAGCCUUUCGAAAGGAAGAUUAAUACCCCAUAAUAUAAGAAACGGCAUCGUUUUUUAUUGAAAACUCCGGUGGAUAGAGAUGGGCACGCGCAAGAUUAGAUAGUUGGUGAGGUAACGGCUCACCAAGUCGACGAUCUUUAGGGGGCCUGAGAGGGUGAUCCCCCACACUGGUACUGAGACACGGACCAGACUCCUACGGGAGGCAGCAGUGAGGAAUAUUGGACAAUGGGUGAGAGCCUGAUCCAGCCAUCCCGCGUGAAGGACGACGGCCCUAUGGGUUGUAAACUUCUUUUGUAUAGGGAUAAACCUACUCUCGUGAGGGUAGCUGAAGGUACUAUACGAAUAAGCACCGGCUAACUCCGUGCCAGCAGCCGCGGUAAUACGGAGGGUGCAAGCGUUAUCCGGAUUUAUUGGGUUUAAAGGGUCCGUAGGCGGAUCUGUAAGUCAGUGGUGAAAUCUCACAGCUUAACUGUGAAACUGCCAUUGAUACUGCAGGUCUUGAGUGUUGUUGAAGUAGCUGGAAUAAGUAGUGUAGCGGUGAAAUGCAUAGAUAUUACUUAGAACACCAAUUGCGAAGGCAGGUUACUAAGCAACAACUGACGCUGAUGGACGAAAGCGUGGGGAGCGAACAGGAUUAGAUACCCUGGUAGUCCACGCCGUAAACGAUGCUAACUCGUUUUUGGGAUUUAGGUUUCAGAGACUAAGCGAAAGUGAUAAGUUAGCCACCUGGGGAGUACGAACGCAAGUUUGAAACUCAAAGGAAUUGACGGGGGCCCGCACAAGCGGUGGAUUAUGUGGUUUAAUUCGAUGAUACGCGAGGAACCUUACCAAGGCUUAAAUGGGAAAUGACAUGCUUAGAAAUAGGCUUUUCUUCGGACAUUUUUCAAGGUGCUGCAUGGUUGUCGUCAGCUCGUGCCGUGAGGUGUUAGGUUAAGUCCUGCAACGAGCGCAACCCCUGUCACUAGUUGCCAUCAUUAACUUGGGGACUCUAGUGAGACUGCCUACGCAAGUACAGAGGACCGUGGUCAUGACGACGAAU